Molecule: ribosomal RNA, 440 nt
Filed under: uncultured bacterium
Lineage: Bacteria
Description: partial 16S ribosomal RNA
Rfam family: Bacterial small subunit ribosomal RNA
Source: RNAcentral
CCUACGGGAGGCAGCAGUGGGGAAUAUUGCACAAUGGGGGAAACCCUGAUGCAGCGACGCCGCGUGAGUGAAGAAGUAAUUCGUUAUGUAAAGCUCUAUCAGCAGGGAAGAAAAUGACGGUACCUGAGUAAGAAGCCCCGGCUAACUACGUGCCAGCAGCCGCGGUAAUACGUAGGGGGCAAGCGUUAUCCGGAUUUACUGGGUGUAAAGGGAGCGUAGACGGCAGUGCAAGUCUGGAGUGAAAGGCGGGGGCUCAACCCCCGGACUGCUCUGGAAACUGUACGGCUGGAGUGCAGGAGAGGUAAGUGGAAUUCCUAGUGUAGCGGUGAAAUGCGUAGAUAUUAGGAGGAACACCAGUGGCGAAGGCGGCUUACUGGACUGUAACUGACGCUGAGGAGCGAAAGCGUGGGUAGCAAACAGGAUUAGAUACCCUUGUAGUC